UUAGCUGAGCUUGCGUUACGUUAUUCGUUGCUUUAACUCUACUUUUUUUUCUGAUACGGAAUUAUAAGAUAAAGACAAUGUUCUUGAGGAUAUUGUUCAUCCUUUUGCUGGCGUAUGAGGUCGUAGCUGAGCCAAUAACAUCAGGCAGCUUCUCCCAAGAGUCCACAUCAGACAGCGGCAUCCAGGAGAAAAACAACCUGGAGGACAGAAGAGAACGCACCCACGGACAUCACCACCGCUCUCUCUUAAAGGACGCCGUUGACUGGCUGUCAAAGUGGCUGACCAUCUUUGGAGUCUUCUUGCUGCUG
This is a long non-coding RNA of Pseudophryne corroboree (corroboree frog), 308 nucleotides long. RefSeq lists it as uncharacterized. The record is from RefSeq and is a predicted model, not a curated record. The transcript has 2 exons. Lineage: Eukaryota; Metazoa; Chordata; Amphibia; Anura; Myobatrachidae.